UGUGAUAUAUUUUGUGUGAAAAACUGGAAAACAAAGUGCAUACCUGCAUAACCUCACUUAUCGCAGUUUUGCACAUUUUGAUGAUGGGAAUUGCGGUUCAAGUAAUUAUGAGUUAUAGAUGGAGCUCACUGUUUACUUCAAACUGAAGCCUUUUGGGUCCACUUUUUUCGUUGUUAUUUCCUGGUAGCGACUCUUGUUUCAAGCAGAAUGGGUGUACAGUUAAAAAUAAUCCCAUAAAAUUGUUAAUAUAACUCCGUUGCACUGGCAUGGGGUAUUUGAAAACUUACGUUUAACAAAUACGUCACAAAGUCUCAGCCAUCGUCGAAAAACAUAAUAAGGGCUUUAUAACAACAAGCGCUUUCUGAUUUUACUGUGGACGUGUGGAAGAAUAGUGUGAAAUAUUGCGAAAAACCAACUUUUACUCUUGUUUACAUUUUUGUACGUCUCUAUCUGGGAGUAGUCGUCUUUUAUAAAAAAUAUAGCCUACUAAUAAAGGAAAUUAAAGUGUU
This is a long non-coding RNA of Tribolium castaneum (red flour beetle), 509 nucleotides long. RefSeq lists it as uncharacterized. The transcript is spliced from 2 exons. Lineage: Eukaryota; Metazoa; Arthropoda; Insecta; Coleoptera; Tenebrionidae. The record is from RefSeq and is a predicted model, not a curated record.